GGUUUCUCUGUGAAGCAGUUGUGGAAAGGUUGUAAAGUGACCUCAACUGACUGCUGAGUCGUCUAUUGACGUCAAGAACAUUUUAUAGUCUGGUGUUUGGUGUAUUUUUAGACUCUAAAAUCAUGGCUGAUAUAUUUAAUAGCAUCAGUCUUUGACUCAUGGAUUUAUUGUUUAACUCUUACCAUUUGCUUUUAACAGAGAAAUAGCUAUAGAAUGACAAAACUCUUCCACUUUUUCAAGUGCAUUUUUACCCAUACAAGAGGCCAUUAAGCAUUCUGUUCACAUGCUGUGAAAGUAAGGGGCUUUAGUACUUAAUUUGGAGAGGAAAUGUGAUUGAGGACAAAGCGCAGGACCUGGACUCUUACUGUGCACGUGCAAUUUGUUAGCUGUGUAACACUGAGGAAGAGACUUAGGAUCUCUAGGCAUCAAUUUUCUCCUCUGUGAAAUGGAGAUAGUAAUAUCUGCAUCAUUUGGAAUGCUAUCUGUGUUAAGAAGCCUAGUCUCAGAAAACCCAGUUUCAAAUGGGCUUAAGCAACGGGAUUUGAAGAGAUUGAAGACUGUUCAGUGAUAACUCAGCAUACCCCCAAUUCCACCCCAUUUCACUCUGUGAAGAACUAGUUCAGAAUGGUGGCUUCCUUUUUCUUGCCUUUUGAGAAAAUGUGUGUUCUGUCAGCAGCUAUGAGCACAGAUCUGGGUGCCGAUCAAGACUUUGACGUGAGGCCUGAGAAAACGCAGAACUGAGGUAAAUAGUUCCAGGAAACACUAUACAGCCUGUCACGAUGUUCUGCGGUAUUUCAAAUGUUUUAGAAAAAGGUGAACUUGAGGUGAAUAUGAAAAAGAUAAAGGUUCAUUUUAGUCUGGGAAACAGAAAAUUCUGGAAAGCAAAAACUGAAUUUUUAUUUUCAGUGUUAUAUAAGCAUAGCUUUUUGCUUUCAUUAAAAAGAGGAAACAUUAGUGAACUUGAGUUUGGGGCACACGUCGAAUAAAAGCUAAGUCUGUUAUCAUGAACCUCAAAGUUCUUCAUCAUUUGGCUUCACUGAUUGCAUUGACUACCACUCUCCCCCUCCCUCACAGCUCUCUUGUCAAACAGGCCUUCAUUAAUUUCCUUGUACACUUGCUUUAACCUAAGGAACUUUUGCAUUUGCUGUUCCCUCUGCCUGAAGUGCCCUUCCUGCCCUUCACAUAGUGGAUUUAUUCUCACCCUUCAGGUCACAGCUUAAAUGUUGUCUCCUUGGAACACCAUUGCUAGACCACCCUAGUCAGCCGCUGUGCCUCCCCUGCCCCUCCAUCUUGUGUGCUCAUCUGUGGCUCUCCUCUCCUUUGGGACACAUGGGAAAAGUGUACUUUCUUGACACCCUUACAGGUGGGUAGGACUCUGGGACAAGUGUUGACCAACAGGACAUAAAAGUGAUGUGAUGGUGCAGUCUCAUUACCCUUGGUGUUGUCCAGGCAUGAGAGCAACAUGGACCAGAUCCCCUGGCAAUGUGUGGCGUAUAAAUGCAUGAGUAAGAAAGCAAAACACAGAAAACACAACUUUGUUAAGACACGAUAUUUUUGGGAUUGUUUGUUAUUAAAACGUAACUGCUCCCAUCCUAUCUAAAACAUUACCAUAUUUUAUUUUCUUCAGAGCACUUUCUCCUUUUUGAAAUCAUUUCUCAUUUAUUUAUUUAUCAUUAAUCUAUCCCCCGCCCCUACAUUGUCAGGUACAUUUGUAGAUACACAAUACACUAAAUGAUUAACUUUUCAUGGGGUCUGUGGAUCCUCAUCAAUCUCAAACAAUCUUUAAAAAGCCUUUCAGAAUAGCCCUUAGGCCGUCUGCUAACUACUUAGUCCUGAAUCUGGUAAAUAAAGAGAUGUCCAUUGAUGGCCCUUGUUGAAAUAGGCGAGGUGCCCAUUACCUCAGUGCUCUCCCUGCCUCAUCCAUUUAUCCUGAUAGAGGAAAGCUGCCUAACUAAUUCUGGAAAGUCUAUAAACUGAGCAGGACCAGACAGAAUGAAUAUUGUUUCCAGUUCCUAAUGAGGGUCUCCUCCAAAUACGUACUCUAGGAAGGAAGAAGGCAUGUGUUUCCAGAGUCUACACAGGUUAUGUUCUCUACCAUAUGUUCUCCCCCUGCCUUGACCUACUCAUUCAGAUAGACUGAAUCAACUGACUCCUUCCAAAUGGCACAUACAAGGAAAGUUUGUGUUUUCUACCACGCUAAGAAUUGAACUAAUCAACACCUUUGUGAUUUUCCUUUUUACUUGGAGUCCUUAGAGGCUUUGUUCCAUGCCAGUCUCUCCUGGCUGCUAUGGCCCCGGUGCUCUGGCUUCAAGGCUCAAGACUGGGUGGACUUUCUGGGCUCACUGGCUUCUGGCUCUGCUCUCCCACUGCCACUUCCCAAGCACCCCACUAGGCUCAGCUACCUGUACGGUUGGAGGUGAUCUCUGAGCAAGUAUGGGUAUUGGUCAUGCACUGCCUUCCAAAGAUGGAAGAACCUCACAUAUGGGCGACACUACUCUACUCCUCUUUGCUCCCUAAAAUUACCUUUGUCUCCUGCUAGGAACUGGGAUAAACCAUGUUAUAUAUUACUUUCAAGUUUUCCUUUACUUACGCUGUUCCUUCUUACCUUUCAUUGAUCGGUUAAUUCCUAAUUAUUUUCUAAGACUUGGCUCAGGCAUUGUAUUCUAAGCAUGUGUCCUAUUGGGUUAAAAACCCCUCCUCUGUGGCCCAAACAGCACCCCAGAAGUACUUCUGUUUAAUUACCUAUCAUAAAGU
Molecule: long non-coding RNA, 2754 nt
Filed under: Homo sapiens (human)
Lineage: Eukaryota; Metazoa; Chordata; Mammalia; Primates; Hominidae
Description: HSALNT0057773
Source: RNAcentral